RNAcentral lists this transfer RNA (65 nucleotides) under Graptopsaltria nigrofuscata. Its description in RNAcentral is "tRNA-Ile". Lineage: Eukaryota; Metazoa; Arthropoda; Insecta; Hemiptera; Cicadidae. RNAcentral also lists the same sequence under 1 other name. The record is from RNAcentral.
AAUAAGAUGCCUGAUAAAAGGAUUAUUUUGAUAGAAUAAAUUAUGUAUAUUUUAUACUCUUAUUU